AAUAGGAUCAUUAUCAUCAUUUUGUUAGUAAUGUAAUAGUGGUAUAAUUUUUGUUAGAAAAUUUGUGAUGAGUGUUGCUGCUUAUUAGAGGGUUAAAAGUCUACUGUCAUGCUGUGGUGAAGUCCCAUUUCCUUCAGAUCUCCAGAUUUUGGCUGGAGAAAGGAUCAUUCUGGCUUUCAGAAGACUGACUUUGUCCACUGACUUUGUCUGAUGUGUGAGUGACAGAACAUUUUGCUGUUUGUUUAUUUGAGAAGAGCUGAUUGAAUGAGUACACAGCUUUGUGAUUCUUGAACUUGCAUCUGUGGUUUCUGUAAGUACUUCCAGAAGGAGCAGGUGCAAUUGCUGUUUGUGUCCUGGCUUAUAGCAGUAUCAGCAUUUUGCCUGGUGGAAGAAGCAGAGUUCGCAAUCUUGCAUUACAUAGCACUUAACACAAGACAACAGAGAACAUGAACUUGCAGACAAACAAGCUGGCCCCUUUAUGUACUGCUUACACUCCUGCCUGUAACUGUUGUCAACAUGUGCCACACAGGAAUGGGCCCACUUUGGACUAUCAGCAGUAUAGAUGGGCUCCAAACUAUUCAUAUUUAAGCAAGAUGACAAGAACUAAGAUCAUUCAUAGUGGCACUGAUGGCAUCAUAUAUGCCAUUCUUCUUCAAUGAUUAUUGGAUGUAACUGUCUACAAUUAUUAUUUAUUAAUGGUUACACAAACUAGAAUAACCAGAUCCCAUUGUGGUACUGUAUGGUGCAAUUUUAACAAAACAUUGAAAAUCGUCGGCGCAUAAAUGUUGAUCUUGUGAAUAGUGAUAAGCACUUAACAGAAUGCUUUUUAUCUGGAUAUCUAUAGGUGAGUGGCAAGAACCAAGAAUAAACAUAAUGAUAUUGACAGAGUAAUAAGUGCUGUAAUUUCUUAAUGUUCAUUGCGUACAACUCAUAAUAAUUAAUGUACAAGAUGUGGCUAUAAAAUAACGGGACUGACGCUGUCACAGAGUAAGUAAAUCUGUGCCAAAGAUGAACAAACAAUAACUGUGAAGCGUGAAACCUUCUCAGUCAAAUGUGGCAUCUCUGACAUCUGUAGACAAACAAUUAUGGCUGUGGCCUUUGGUUGUGUAAGAGUUAUUUGUUUCUUUGCUGAAAAAAUGAUAAAUGUAAUAAUAGACCAAUGAAUUUUCAUGAAGUUUCACAUGAAACAUGGAAAAACUGCUACUGAAACCUAUCUUUUACUAAAAUAAGUGUAUGGCAAAGGCUUUUUAUUGCUACAUGAGUUUUUGAGUAGUUCAAGCAUUUCAAAGACGGCCAAGAUGCCACUGAACAUAACACACACCCUUCAACAUCAAAAAGUGGAUGAAAAUAUCAAAAACAUGGGUAAUCUGAUCCAAUCCAACCAUCAGCUGAAUAUUUGAUUGAUUGCUGAAACUUCAGAAAGUGAAACAAAAUGUAUAAGGCAAUUUUUACAUUAUCAAUUUAACAAGAGAAAAGUGUGUGCAAAAUUGCUGCUGAAAAUUCUCACAAUAAAAAAAAAAAAUUCUUUGGAAGAGUGCAGAUGUAACAAAUUUUGGUUUCUCACUUAUGAUCUGGAGACUAAGUGCCAUUCCAUUCAUUGAGAGGGCCCAACUUCACGUAGAGUGAAAAAAGCUCAAAUGAGCAAGUCAGGAUUCAAUGUGAUGAUGAUAGUUUUAUUAAUAUUCAUGGAGUUGUAUAUCUCCACAGGGUUCCCGCAGGUCAGACUAUUAAUUGAGGU
Molecule: long non-coding RNA, 1738 nt
Organism: Schistocerca nitens (vagrant locust)
Lineage: Eukaryota; Metazoa; Arthropoda; Insecta; Orthoptera; Acrididae
Exons: 5
Source: RefSeq, a predicted model, not a curated record